CAGCAGCCACGGGAAUACGGAGGGUGCAAGCGUUAAUCGGAAUUACUGGGCGUAAAGCGCACGCAGGCGGUCUGACAAGUCAGAUGUGAAAUCCCCGGGCUUAACCUGGGAACUGCAUUUGAAACUGUCAGGCUGGAGUCUUGUAGAGGGGGGUGGAAUUCCAGGUGUAGCGGUGAAAUGCGUAGAGAUCUGGAGGAAUACCGGUGGCGAAGGCGGCCCCCUGGACAAAGACUGACGCUCAGGUGCGAAAGCGUGGGGAGCAAACAGGAUUAGAGACCCGAGUAGUCCCUGUCUCUUAUAC
RNAcentral lists this ribosomal RNA (301 nucleotides) under uncultured bacterium. Its description in RNAcentral is "partial 16S ribosomal RNA". It matches the Rfam family "Bacterial small subunit ribosomal RNA", at positions 509 to 807 of the family's 1533-position model. The record is from RNAcentral.